GCCGGGUGCGGUGGCAUGUGCCUGUAAUCCAAGUCACUGGGAGGCUGAGGUUGGUGGAUCAAGUGAGCUGAGGAGCUCUGGGCUGCAGCACACUAUGUUGAACGGGUGUCCACGCUAAGUUCGGUAUCGAUAUGGUGUUCCAGGGGGAGCCCGGACCACCAGGUUGUCUAAGGAGGGGUGAACCGGCCCAGGUCGGAAACGAAGCAGGUCAAAUCCCCCGUGCUGUCCAGUAGUUGGAUAAUACCUGUGAGUAGAUGCUGCAGUGCAGCCUUGGCGAAACAUCGAGACCUAAUCUUUC
Molecule: signal recognition particle RNA, 298 nt
Filed under: Oncorhynchus kisutch (coho salmon)
Lineage: Eukaryota; Metazoa; Chordata; Actinopteri; Salmoniformes; Salmonidae
Description: Metazoan signal recognition particle RNA (ENSOKIG00005032731.1)
Rfam family: Metazoan signal recognition particle RNA
About the family: The signal recognition particle (SRP) is a universally conserved ribonucleoprotein. It is involved in the co-translational targeting of proteins to membranes.
Source: Rfam by way of RNAcentral